RNAcentral lists this ribosomal RNA (205 nucleotides) under uncultured bacterium. RNAcentral's name for it is "partial 16S ribosomal RNA". It matches the Rfam family "Bacterial small subunit ribosomal RNA", at positions 570 to 774 of the family's 1533-position model. The record is from RNAcentral.
CGUAGGCGGUCUCUUAAGUCAGGUGUGAAAGCCCGGGGCUCAACCCCGGAAGUGCACUUGAAACUAAGGGACUUGAGUAUGGGAGAGGGAAGUGGAAUUCCUGGUGUAGCGGUGAAAUGCGUAGAUAUCAGGAGGAACACCGGUGGCGAAGGCGACUUCCUGGACCAAUACUGACGCUGAGGCGCGAAGGCGUGGGGAGCAAACA